AGAGGGUGCAAGCGUUAUUCGGAAUUACUGGGCGUAAAGGGUGCGUAGGUGGUUUGUUAAGUCAGGCGUGAAAUCCUCGGGCUCAACUUGGGAAUUGCGCUUGAUACUGGCAGACUGGAUUGUGCUAGAGGAUAUUGGAAUUCCCGGUGUACCGGUGAAAUGGGUAGAUAUCGGGAGGAACAUCAGUGGGGAAGGAGGCUAUCUGGUCUAACACUGACAUUGAGCCAGGAAAGCGUGGGUAGCAACCAGGAUUAGAUACCUUGUUAUUCCACGCCUUAAACGAUUGAUAUUAGACGUCGGGAAGCUUGUCUUCUUGGUGUCGCAGCUAACGCAAUAAGUACCCCGCCUGGGGAGUACGGUCGCAAGAUUA
Molecule: ribosomal RNA, 370 nt
Filed under: uncultured bacterium
Lineage: Bacteria
Description: bacterial SSU rRNA
Rfam family: Bacterial small subunit ribosomal RNA
Source: RNAcentral